GAACUGACAAUGAAUCAAGGGGCAGACAGGACUUAAAUACAAAAUACGAAACACGAGGCAGGUGACCGCGAUUACAUUGAUUGAGGUGACACAGGAGGGGAGGGGCGACGCAAACAGAAACUAU
Long non-coding RNA from Syngnathus acus (greater pipefish), 124 nucleotides. RefSeq lists it as uncharacterized. Lineage: Eukaryota; Metazoa; Chordata; Actinopteri; Syngnathiformes; Syngnathidae. The record is from RefSeq and is a predicted model, not a curated record. The transcript is spliced from 3 exons.